This 429-nucleotide ribosomal RNA is filed under the name Chloroflexota bacterium. RNAcentral's name for it is "Chloroflexi bacterium partial 16S ribosomal RNA". It matches the Rfam family "Bacterial small subunit ribosomal RNA", at positions 355 to 776 of the family's 1533-position model. Lineage: Bacteria; Bacillati; Chloroflexota. The record is from RNAcentral.
UGGGGAAUAUUGCACAAUGGGCGCAAGCCUGAUGCAGCCAUGCCGCGUGUAUGAAGAAGGCCUUCGGGUUGUAAAGUACUUUCAGUCGGGAGGAAGGUGGUAAGGUUAAUAACCUUAUCGAUUGACGUUACCGACAGAAGAAGCACCGGCUAACUCCGUGCCAGCAGCCGCGGUAAUACGGAGGGUGCAAGCGUUAAUCGGAAUUACUGGGCGUAAAGCGCACGCAGGCGGUUGAUUGAGUCAGAUGUGAAAUCCCCGGGCUUAACCCGGGAAUUGCAUCUGAUACUGGUCAGCUAGAGUCUUGUAGAGGGGGGUAGAAUUCCAUGUGUAGCGGUGAAAUGCGUAGAGAUGUGGAGGAAUACCGGUGGCGAAGGCGGCCCCCUGGACAAAGACUGACGCUCAGGUGCGAAAGCGUGGGGAGCAAACAGG